This 505-nucleotide ribosomal RNA is filed under the name uncultured bacterium. RNAcentral's name for it is "partial 16S ribosomal RNA". It matches the Rfam family "Bacterial small subunit ribosomal RNA", at positions 28 to 507 of the family's 1533-position model. The record is from RNAcentral.
GACGAACGCUGGCGGCGUGCCUAAUACAUGCAAGUCGAACGCACAGUUUCUACCGUUGCUUGCUACACCAUAGACUGUGAGUUGCGAACCGGUUAGUAACGCGUAGGUAACCUGCCUGGUAGCGUGGGAUAACUAUUGCAAACGAUAGCUAGUACCGCAUAAUAUUAAUUAUUGCUUGGUAAUUUAUUGCAAUGUGGAAUUGCACCACUACCAGAUGGCUCGUCGUUGUAUUAGCUAGUAGGUGAGGUAACGGCUCACCUAGGCGACGAUACAUAGUCGACCGGAGAGGGUGAGCGGCCACACUGGGAGUGAGACACGGCCCAGACGGCUUGGGGAGGGAGCAGGAGGGAAACUUCGGCAAGGGGCGAAAGACUGACCGAGAAACGCGGAGGGAGGGAGGAAGGAUGUCGGGUCGGAAAGCUCGGUUGUAAGGGAAGAAAGGGUGUGAGAGUGGAAAGUUCACACUGUGACGGUAACUUACAAGAAAGGGACGGCUAACUACGUG